This is a small nuclear RNA of Gracilinanus agilis (Agile Gracile Mouse Opossum), 136 nucleotides long. RefSeq annotates it as U4 spliceosomal RNA. The transcript has a single exon. Lineage: Eukaryota; Metazoa; Chordata; Mammalia; Didelphimorphia; Didelphidae. The record is from RefSeq and is a predicted model, not a curated record.
AGUUUUGUGCAGUGGCAAUAUCAUAGCCAAUGAGGUUUAUCUGAGGAGUGAUUAUUGCUAAUUGAAAAUCUAUACCAUGUUUAGUUAAGAAUAUCUCUCCUACCCAGAGCUGUGAAAAUUAUAUGAUCUGCUUAUC